Molecule: long non-coding RNA, 353 nt
Filed under: Setaria italica (foxtail millet)
Lineage: Eukaryota; Viridiplantae; Streptophyta; Magnoliopsida; Poales; Poaceae
Description: long non-coding RNA (SITA_LNC006123)
Source: RNAcentral
UUGUAGAUCAUAGAUAGGAAAUGCAUUGGUACCUGGAAGAGUCUAAGAAAAAUAAAGAAAUUAUGUGAGAUGGGAGUAUAAGAUGUUGAAGGAACCUGAAUACACACAACUCCAGUCGGGUUAGGGUGAAGCGGAUUGAAAAGGAAAUUCCUGGACACUCUUCGGCCACGAGGAUGAUGAAGUUUCUAGAAAAUUGUCUUCCAUAUUCAAGUCAGAUGCUAAACAUUAUUAGCUUCACAGUUAGUUUACAAUGUUAGAGCUUUAUGCUUGCUCUGUUUUGCAACUAUGUCUGGAGCAAAAUCUUUGUUUAUCAUAUUUCUUUCACUGUAGUUAUUUUUUUGUCUGUUCGCGAC